AUUUCAAAACUUUAUGUUUUAAUAUAUUUGCUUCCUCAUCAGUUUGAAUGUUACUUUUUUUCUCUGAAUAUACACCUCAACACCUCUACGCAUCAGACAAAGAGAUAUGGCUGUCCUUUCUCCUUCCAUGCAGUGACUCUGUGGCUGGUAGCUUUAUCAUUCACAGAACCCACAACAUCCUCCCACAUUUUUCAAAUGCUCAUCCAGUUGUUUCGGCAUGGAAAAAAAAAAAGCCACAGCAGAAGUUAGCAGAAGCCUGCUUUUGUUUUAGCCGGGCAUGGUUCACUCCUAGAGUGCUCUCCCUUUCCUAACAUUUGAAAGGCUUGGAAGCAAAAUUUCAACAAACAGAACCAGAUGAGGUUAAAAGCUUUUUCAAAUUAUUUUUUAAAACAUUUCCAAAGUGGAGAUAAUCGCUUUGCAAAACAAAAGGAAUUUGCCCUUUAUCCAACAGCCUGCUGUAAAGAGGCUCUGAGCUCUUCUGAAGCCACUGUGACAUUAAUGUUUUCUAAUUAGCUGCUGCUUGGCAAGUUUUGGUUCUGGCAGCUACAAGGAGCAUGGAAUUCAGCUUACAGAAAAACAAGACUAAAGAUUCAGCCUAAGAGUUUGUGUCAUUUCAAACAGCCGGUGCUGUGAGACAGACCUGAAAGCAUCGUGUGGGUGUGCGAGCCGGUGACAGAAAGAGUGGGUAGCGACUGCCGCUAACAGCAUCAGUGCUGGCUGCCAUGUACGCACCACGUGGUCAUCUUUGCAGGAAGAGAUCUUCCACCCUGUGUUGGCUCUGCUCCCUGUAAUCCUUCCAAAGCUGCAGAGUGUAGAACCAGUAAGCGUUCAGCCCUCCUGGUCUUGGCAUCACAACUGGCCAUGGGUUUUUCUCCUGUUCAGUGCUCACUGUGGGGACAGGUAUUGUACUUCAGUACCAGAGGGGACAGGAGAGCACACCUGGCCACUCAGCACCUUCAGAAUAAAUGGCAAGUUCACACACUUCAUUCUGACCCUUUUUGUUCUGAAGUGCUAAUUUGCAUAUGCAGUGUCAGCAUCAUGUUUGCCAAAGGCUCCCAUGCUGCUCCAUGGAAAUGGAGCAACUCCUGACAUAUCCACUGGCAAGAAAUGUAGAUUGAGCCACUGACGGAUGACACUACUAUCAUCAGUUUACAAACAAUUUUCAAGAACUUUCCUUUCACACUUGAGCAUAUUAGCCACUGAAAAAAAAGUGCUUAAGACAACAACAGAGAACCAUCACUAUUUCAAAAGACGCCUUUAAAACUCAUCACCCCUGUUAACAGUGGAAGUGAUUAACACUAAUCCUGUUGAGAAUACUACACUCAAACCAAGAAGCCUGCAGAAACAACAGACAGGACUUCAACAGACCUCACUGGUUUAGGCAGACAAUGCCAUUCAUAAGAGAAAAUAUCUUCAAGGGAAGUUAAGUCCCAGCAGACAG
This 1441-nucleotide long non-coding RNA is filed under the name Strigops habroptila (Kakapo). RNAcentral's name for it is "lncRNA (ENSSHBG00005011974.1)". Lineage: Eukaryota; Metazoa; Chordata; Aves; Psittaciformes; Psittacidae. The record is from RNAcentral.